GGUGAGAUGGCCGAGUGGUCUAAGGCGCUGCGUUUAGGCCGCAGUCAGAAAUGGCGUGGGUUCGAAUCCCACUCUCAUCA
This 80-nucleotide transfer RNA is filed under the name Coemansia reversa NRRL 1564. RNAcentral describes it as "Coemansia reversa (strain ATCC 12441 / NRRL 1564) tRNA". It matches the Rfam family "tRNA". From Rfam's summary of the family: Transfer RNA (tRNA) molecules are approximately 80 nucleotides in length. Their secondary structure includes four short double-helical elements and three loops (D, anti-codon, and T loops). RNAcentral also lists the same sequence under 1 other name. Lineage: Eukaryota; Fungi; Kickxellomycota; Kickxellomycetes; Kickxellales; Kickxellaceae. The record is from Rfam by way of RNAcentral.